GUCCAGACUCCUACGGGAGGCAGCAGUGGGGGAUAUUGCACAAUGGGGGGAACCCUGAUGCAGCGACGCCGCGUGGGUGAAGAAGCGCCUCGGCGCGUAAAGCCCUGUCAGCAGGGAAGAAAAUGACGGUACCUGAAGAAGAAGCCCCGGCUAACUACGUGCCAGCAGCCGCGGUAAUACGUAGGGGGCAAGCGUUAUCCGGAUUUACUGGGUGUAAAGGGGGCGCAGACGGCGAUGCAAGCCAGGAGUGAAAGCCCGGGGCCCAACCCUGGAACUGCUCUGGAAACUGUGCGGCUAGAGUACUGGAGGGGCAGGCGGAAUUCCUAGUGUAGCGGUGAAAUGCGUAGAUAUUAGGAGGAACACCAGUGGCGAAGGCGGCCUGCUGGACAGUAACUGACGUUGAGGCUCGAAAGCGUGAGGAGCAAACAGGAUUAGAUACCCGCGUACC
RNAcentral lists this ribosomal RNA (448 nucleotides) under uncultured bacterium. Its description in RNAcentral is "bacterial SSU rRNA". It matches the Rfam family "Bacterial small subunit ribosomal RNA", at positions 329 to 794 of the family's 1533-position model. The record is from RNAcentral.